GCAGGAGAGAUAUUUACUAGAACCUAACUGUAGAUUGCACAACCUCCUCCCAGCCCAUCCUGAGGUUGCACAAUCCUGCAUUCUUAUAAAUACAGCUGCACUCCAGCCUCUGGGAGUCUCUGCGGACCCAGCUGUGGAGAAAUUUUCUCCCCACUUCAGCAUCCGAGCCAGCCUGCAGGUCACCAUGAGGACUCCUUGCUUUCUGUUGCUCAUGUGCUGCCUCCUCCUCUCUCAAGGUGCCAGCAUUCUCGCAGGUCUGAGCAAACGUAACCUGUUCCUGCAGUGCGUCAGUCAAGGAGGAAACUGUUACUCUUAUGCUUGCCCUGCCAGCUAUGAUGCCAUUGGAUCCUGUGGCCUGGAAACGGACCUCUGCUGCAAGUGAGCUGAGGGUGGCCUGGAGGCAAAGCACCUUGGCCUCAGAUGUGUGAUCACUUUCUUAAUAAACAAGUCUCCCAGAAGCAUCUCACACUCA
This is a long non-coding RNA of Cavia porcellus (domestic guinea pig), 472 nucleotides long. RefSeq lists it as uncharacterized. The record is from RefSeq and is a predicted model, not a curated record. The transcript is spliced from 2 exons. NCBI's taxonomy places the organism in Eukaryota, Metazoa, Chordata, Mammalia, Rodentia, Caviidae.